GUUUUUACAGUUUACACAGCCCUGCGUGUGUAAAUGGAAAAGAAACAGAAAGGAGUGCACAAGCCACAAAACACUAUUCCAGCCAAUCAGCAACAAGUGGGG
This is a long non-coding RNA of Etheostoma spectabile (orangethroat darter), 102 nucleotides long. RefSeq lists it as uncharacterized. The record is from RefSeq and is a predicted model, not a curated record. NCBI's taxonomy places the organism in Eukaryota, Metazoa, Chordata, Actinopteri, Perciformes, Percidae. The transcript is spliced from 4 exons.